UGAGGAGGAGGAGCUCUUUCCUGUGUCACUGGAAAUGGUCGUCUGUGUGCUGGUGCCAAGUGGAAGUGAGGAGAAAGGUUGAAUGCAAGAAUGGGCACCAGCCUCAUCAGCUCUGUGCUCUUCUCCACUCAGGACAGCUCCAGAGUUGAUGGAUGAAAUUCAGCUUUGCAGAUCAAUGUUCUUUUUCCACCUCAAUAUAAACUGAGUAUUGCAAAAUGAAGGGGGAAUCUGCAGCACACCCGCACAGCACAGAAAAGAAACAACACCAUGGCUCGAAAGCUUUAGUUUUGCAGUUUGGAAAGGCUAAGGUGAGCUGCCUGGGUUGUUCCUCAAAGGCUCAGAGGAAGGAGUGAGUGCAGCAAUAAAAGGCCCAGCAGGAGGAGGGAUGGAUUGAGCCAGAGCUGGCACCAAAAGUUGUUCAUGUGGAGCCAUCAUUGCUGUGUGAUCUCAUUAUCAGGUUGUACACGGGAAGAAGGAGACAAUGAGCCACUGGAAAUUCUUCUCCUGUGUCACUGGUCCCUUCCAGACCUUGUGCCAAGUCCCUCACCUCACAGCUGCUGAUAUCCUCAUCCUCAGGGUGUGUGCUGG
Prinia subflava (tawny-flanked prinia) is the source of this 588-nucleotide long non-coding RNA. RefSeq lists it as uncharacterized. The record is from RefSeq and is a predicted model, not a curated record. The transcript is spliced from 4 exons. Lineage: Eukaryota; Metazoa; Chordata; Aves; Passeriformes; Cisticolidae.